Molecule: ribosomal RNA, 389 nt
Filed under: Candidatus Phytoplasma pyri
Lineage: Bacteria; Bacillati; Mycoplasmatota; Mollicutes; Acholeplasmatales; Acholeplasmataceae
Description: bacterial SSU rRNA
Rfam family: Bacterial small subunit ribosomal RNA
Source: RNAcentral
CGCCGCGUGAACGAUGAAGUAUUUAGGUAUGUAAAGUUCUUUUAUUAAAGAAGAAAAAAUGAUGGAAAAAUCAUUCUGACGGUAUUUAAUGAAUAAGCCCCGGCUAACUAUGUGCCAGCAGCUGCGGUAAUACAUGGGGGGCAAGCGUUAUCCGGAUUUAUUGGGCGUAAAGGGUGCGUAGGCGGUUUAAUAAGUCUAUGGUAUAAGUUCAACGCUUAACGUUGUGAUGCUAUAGAAACUGUUUGACUAGAGUUGGAUAGAGGCAAGUGGAAUUCCAUGUGUAGCGGUAAAAUGCGUAAAGAUAUGGAGGAACACCAGUAGCGAAGGCGGCUUGCUGGGUCUUAACUGACGCUGAGGCACGAAAGCGUGGGGAGCAAACAGGAUUAGAU